RNAcentral lists this transfer RNA (85 nucleotides) under Felis catus (domestic cat). It matches the Rfam family "tRNA". Rfam says of the family: Transfer RNA (tRNA) molecules are approximately 80 nucleotides in length. Their secondary structure includes four short double-helical elements and three loops (D, anti-codon, and T loops). The record is from Rfam by way of RNAcentral. Lineage: Eukaryota; Metazoa; Chordata; Mammalia; Carnivora; Felidae.
GCGUGGGUGGCUCAGUUGGUUGAGCGACCGACUUCGGCUCAGGUCAUGAUCGCAUGGUUUGUGAGUUCGAGCCCCACCUCAGGCU